This is a non-coding RNA of Pteropus vampyrus (large flying fox), 302 nucleotides long. The record is from Rfam. Lineage: Eukaryota; Metazoa; Chordata; Mammalia; Chiroptera; Pteropodidae.
AAAAGGAGACAUAAAAUUCAACUCUUGGUAGCCAUUCUUUCCCUUUUCGCUCUCCACAUACCUCAGCUGGGAAUCUAUAAAUGUGCAGUACUUGUUUGUUAUACUGGUCAUUAUUAAGUUAUCUAGGAGGCUAGGAGAGCAAUCUGUUCUGACUGUAGUGACAAAAGGAAUUCAAGUCACACCAAAUAUCUUUAUCCUGUUUAGAAACAUCCUAGCAUUUAAGGCCUCUUAAUUUAAGCCCAUUACAAGUUAUUUUCCUUUCUAUUUCAUUUUUCUCUACUCUCUUAUGUUCUGUGUUCUAU